UUCCAGACUCCUACGGGAGGCAGCAGUGGGGAAUAUUGCACAAUGGGGGGAACCCUGAUGCAGCGACGCCGCGUGGGUGAAGGAGUACUUCGGUACGUAAAGCCCUAUCAGCAGGAAAGAAAAUGACGGUACCUGACUAAGAAGCCCCGGCUAACUACGUGCCAGCAGCCGCGGUAAUACGUAGGGGGCAAGCGUUAUCCGGAUUUACUGGGUGUAAAGGGAGCGUAGACGGCCAGACAAGUCUGAAGUGAAAAUCCAGCGCUUAACGUUGGAAGUGCUUUGGAAACUGCCGGGCUGGAGUGCAGGAGGGGCAGGCGGAAUUCCUGGUGUAGCGGUGAAAUGCGUAGAUAUUAGGAGGAACACCAGUGGCGAAGGCGGCCUGCUGGACUGCAACUGACGUUGAGGCUCGAAGGCGUGGGGAGCAAACAGGAUUAGAUACCCGUGUAAC
This 448-nucleotide ribosomal RNA is filed under the name uncultured bacterium. RNAcentral describes it as "bacterial SSU rRNA". It matches the Rfam family "Bacterial small subunit ribosomal RNA", at positions 329 to 794 of the family's 1533-position model. The record is from RNAcentral.